This 398-nucleotide ribosomal RNA is filed under the name uncultured bacterium. Its description in RNAcentral is "bacterial SSU rRNA". It matches the Rfam family "Bacterial small subunit ribosomal RNA", at positions 29 to 418 of the family's 1533-position model. The record is from RNAcentral.
AACGAACGCUGGCGGCGCGCCUAAUACAUGCAAGUCGAGCGAGAAGACGUAGCAAUACGUUUGUAAAGCGGCGAACGGGUGAGGAAUACAUGGGUAACCUACCCUCGAGUGGGGAAUAACUAGCCGAAAGGUUAGCUAAUACCGCGUACGCUCCUUGGACUUCGGUUCAGGGAGGAAAGCGAUACCGUGGGUAUCGCGCUCUUGGAUGGGCUCAUGUCCUAUCAGCUUGUUGGUGAGGAACGGCUCACCAAGGCUUCGACGGGUAGCUGGUCUGAGAGGACGAUCAGCCACACUGGCACUGCGACACGGGCCAGACUCCUACGGGAGGCAGCAGUAAGGAAUAUUGCGCAAUGGGCGAAAGCCUGACGCAGCGACGCCGCGUGGGGGAUGAAGGUCUU